RNAcentral lists this ribosomal RNA (492 nucleotides) under uncultured bacterium. RNAcentral's name for it is "partial 16S ribosomal RNA". It matches the Rfam family "Bacterial small subunit ribosomal RNA", at positions 29 to 507 of the family's 1533-position model. The record is from RNAcentral.
AGUGAGCGCUGGCGGUAGGCCUAACACAUGCAAGUCGAACGGCAGCACAGUAAGAGCUUGCUCUUACGGGUGGCGAGUGGCGGACGGGUGAGGAAUACAUCGGAAUCUACUUUUUCGUGGGGGAUAACGUAGGGAAACUUACGCUAAUACCGCAUACGGCCUACGGGUGAAAGCAGGGGAUCUUCGGACCUUGCGCGAUUGAAUGAGCCGAUGUCGGAUUAGCUAGUUGGCGGGGUAAAGGCCCACCAAGGCGACGAUCCGUAGCUGGUCUGAGAGGAUGAUCAGCCACACUGGAACUGAGACACGGUCCAGACUCCUACGGGAGGCAGCAGUGGGGAAUAUUGGACAAAGGGCGCAAGCCUGAUCCAGCCAUACCGCGUGGGUGAAGAAGGCCUUCGGGUUGUAAAGCCCUUUUGUUGGGAAAGAAAAGCAGCAGGUUAAUACCCCGCUGUUCUGACGGUACCCAAAGAAUAAGCACCGGCUAACUUCGUG